GUAAGUCGAACGAUGAACCUUGCUUUUUAGUGAGGGGAUUAGUGGCGAACGGGUGAGUAACACGUAGGUGACCUGCCCCAAAGAGGAGAACAACCAUGCGAAAGCGUGGCUAAUACUCCAUAUGGCCGACCAUUCAUUUGGUCGAUUAAAGCUUUUGCGCUUUGGGAGGGGCUUGCGGCCCAUCAGCUAGUUGGUAGGGUAAUGGCCUACCAAGGCUAUGACGGGUAGCUGGUCUGAGAGGAUGAUC
Molecule: ribosomal RNA, 247 nt
Filed under: uncultured bacterium
Lineage: Bacteria
Description: partial 16S ribosomal RNA
Rfam family: Bacterial small subunit ribosomal RNA
Source: RNAcentral